AAUUUACGUGUUAAUUACAACAAAAACUUUAUCUGUAUAGAUUUUUGAAAAAUCCAGAUAAUUAUCCAGAUUUUACUUUCUCUCGAUAGAAAACAGUGCUGCCAAUGUACAUAACACUUAUUAAAUGUCAGAUUCCAUUAAGCGACAGCUGCAGUUGACAGAUAUAUGACAAAAAAAUUUAAUAUUUAAAAUUGAAUUCAAUUAAGAAUAACAAACAACACAAAUCAAUGAUUCGCGUUUUUGCAAGAGUGCGAUAUCUUCCGCAAAAUUAAAGAAAAAAACCUGAAAAGGAGAUGGAAAGAAUUAUUUCACAAAAGAAGAAUUCUGUGUACUGUGCCCUUGUGUCUUAAUCGUGUCGAUACCUUCAACCCUCACAGCCAAAAUGUAAUGUAAAAUGCUCUUGGAAUGCCCGAUCGUUUGCGAAAACGUCUAUUCUUUGACGAUAAACAUGGAUAAAUGUUAACAAAGCUCUUGAUGUUAGUCAAUUGCCUCAUUAGAAUGCCCACCACAAAAACAAUCUCAUACAUUUUAAAAAUGAUACACGUCAUGUAUGUGCGCUGCGAAGAAAAGCAAAUACAAACAUACCUUCCGAAAAAUAUUCCCCCAGGAUAUACUUUUCAUCCCAAACAGCACACAGCAACAAGCAAGACAAUCCUAACAUUGCAUUAUGCAGCUCAUUCAACACCCAAAUCCUUCAGCUCCCUAAAAUCGCCCUUACUUUAUAUAAAUGGAAUCAGAAUCAAGACCUGUUGAUGAAAAGCCAUUUAAGAAGAUGAUCGCUUCACUGCCUACAAACUUGUACGACAUGUGCAUGUAAAGUGAAGUGUGGAAACAAUGGCAUCUUGAAAAUGGUAAUUGUUUCAAAGCAUCAUUUAGCUUCCCAAUUGGUUGCAGAUGUACUCUGCCUGCACUGAUGUCGUCCUGUUUCUGUAGGAGAUGUCUUCUAGAAAUGGGUUUAAAGCCCUAAUCGAGAUCCCGAGAAAAUGAUAUCUGCAUGAAUCUUCUUCGCAAUUACUUUCCCCUCCUAAACAGUUAUGCAGCGGGAGGAAUUAAAGCAAUACAAAUGGAUUCCCAACACAACCAACCCUACAAUUGAAAUCCGGGUCUGAGCACCUCGAGGACAACCUAGACAGCAGACUUUUUAAAUUAAGUUUAUCCAUGUAUUAUAUUUUUUAUAUUUUAUAACUUUUAUUUUGUUGACCAAUUUGUAUUUAAUAGUUUGGGUUGGAAAAUGUAUUUUAAAACGACCAAAAAAGCCGACGGAAAAUACAUUUUCCAACCCAAACCAUUAUUUAACGUUAGACCUCUUUGUGCCAUUAAAUUUUAAAUGUGUCUUAGAAAUAAGUUAUUUUAAGUCAAUUGUAAAUAGCAAGUUCAAUAAACCAAAAUUUCAAAUUUAAAA
Episyrphus balteatus (marmalade hoverfly) is the source of this 1402-nucleotide long non-coding RNA. RefSeq lists it as uncharacterized. The transcript is spliced from 4 exons. Lineage: Eukaryota; Metazoa; Arthropoda; Insecta; Diptera; Syrphidae. The record is from RefSeq and is a predicted model, not a curated record.